CAUUUAAUAAGAUAGGAAAGGCGGUGAUAAACUAAGGUAAUAUUUGGCCCCUUGAAUUCUGAGAUUAAAAGGGAUCAUAACUAUAUAAAUGAAUGUCUAUCAAAUAUGUAUCUAUCAUUGUGUAUCUCCUUGAUUUUAAGACUGAAAAAUUUAAACUUCUUCACUAAUAUAUUUAUUCAUUCAUUUUCGUUUGAAAUAUUGUUUUUAAUGCUAAAGUAUAAGCCACAACCUCAC
This 234-nucleotide long non-coding RNA is filed under the name Mytilus galloprovincialis (Mediterranean mussel). Lineage: Eukaryota; Metazoa; Mollusca; Bivalvia; Mytilida; Mytilidae. The record is from RNAcentral.